AAUUCGCCCUUAGAGUUUGAUCCUGGCUCAGGACGAACGCUGGCGGCGCGCCUAACACAUGCAAGUCGAACGAGCGAGAGAGAGCUUGCUUUCUCGAGCGAGUGGCGAACGGGUGAGUAACGCGUGAGGAACCUGCCUCAAAGAGGGGGACAACAGUUGGAAACGACUGCUAAUACCGCAUAAGCCCACAGGUCGGCAUCGACCAGAGGGAAAAGGAGCAAUCCGCUUUGAGAUGGCCUCGCGUCCGAUUAGCUAGUUGGUGAGGUAACGGCCCACCAAGGCGACGAUCGGUAGCCGGACUGAGAGGUUGAACGGCCACAUUGGGACUGAGACACGGCCCAGACUCCUACGGGAGGCAGCAGUGGGGAAUAUUGCACAAUGGGGGAAACCCUGAUGCAGCGACGCCGCGUGGAGGAAGAAGGUCUUCGGAUUGUAAACUCCUGUUGUUGGGGAAGAUAAUGACGGUACCCAACAAGGAAGUGACGGCUAACUACGUGCCAGCAGCCGCGGUAAAACGUAGGUCACAAGCGUUGUCCGGAAUUACUGGGUGUAAAGGGAGCGCAGGCGGGAAGACAAGUUGGAAGUGAAAUCUAUGGGCUCAACCCAUAAACUGCUUUCAAAACUGUUUUUCUUGAGUAGUGCAGAGGUAGGCGGAAUUCCCGGUGUAGCGGUGGAAUGCGUAGAUAUCGGGAGGAACACCAGUGGCGAAGGCGGCCUACUGGGCACCAACUGACGCUGAGGCUCGAAAGUGUGGGUAGCAAACAGGAUUAGAUACCCUGGUAGUCCACACCGUAAACGAU
This 800-nucleotide ribosomal RNA is filed under the name uncultured bacterium. RNAcentral's name for it is "bacterial SSU rRNA". It matches the Rfam family "Bacterial small subunit ribosomal RNA", at positions 1 to 810 of the family's 1533-position model. The record is from RNAcentral.